Molecule: ribosomal RNA, 253 nt
Filed under: uncultured bacterium
Lineage: Bacteria
Description: partial 16S ribosomal RNA
Rfam family: Bacterial small subunit ribosomal RNA
Source: RNAcentral
UACGGAGGGUGCAAGCGUUAUUCGGAAUUAUUGGGCGUAAAGGGCGCGUAGGCGGUCUCUAAAGUCAGAUGUGAAAGCCCGGGGCUUAACCCCGGAAGUGCAUUUGAAACUCAGGGACUUGAGUAUGGGAGAGGGAAGUGGAAUUCCUGGUGUAGCGGUGAAAUGCGUAGAUAUCAGGAGGAACACCAGUGGCGAAGGCGACUUCCUGGACCAAUACUGACGCUGAGGCGCGAAGGCGUGGGGAGCAAACUGG